Long non-coding RNA from Eufriesea mexicana, 1324 nucleotides. RefSeq lists it as uncharacterized. The transcript has 7 exons. The record is from RefSeq and is a predicted model, not a curated record. Lineage: Eukaryota; Metazoa; Arthropoda; Insecta; Hymenoptera; Apidae.
GAAAAAUAGUGAUGAAUUAUUGUGUACAUCUAGUGAAAAACUUUAGUGGAAGACAAGUAACUAUCGACCGAAAAAAUACAUAGAGCCGAAGGGAAUACAGUCCAUCGUCGAAGGAAAGAUAGAGAUGAUUUAUGUAGGCCAUGCAGGUACAAUUUGUAUCACGUCAGUUUUUACCGACCGAGACGUGCUGCGCGGCAGUUGAGUUAUUGCUCGAACCAGGGUCGAGAUAGUUUUGAAACAAGUGAAAUGAUGAGAUCGAGGCAGAAGGAUGCUAAAGAUUUUUCUUCCAAGCCAGGUUAUUUUGACAUAUAUUUGAGGUUAGAGUGACAUAUGUCGUAUUGUGGAUAUUUCAAUCGAACAUGUUACAGGUAUUUAAAUACACAUUUGAAGUCAGCAAUUCUGGCAUUGGUUUCUGACUUUAAACGACUGUUAGACUGUGCUGCUAUCCCCACUAAUUCUUACAAUUUAUUUGGUACUAAUUUGAAUGCUCAAAAAUCACCCACACGAAUAAUUGUUCAGAAAUGGCCUCUGAAUACGAACACGUUCUAAAUCCUACAAAAAUCUACCGUUGGAGGGCUAUAUCAGAAUAUUUCUUGGAGCCAGCAGGAGAAACUAACUUGGACCUUAAUUCGCGUGGUGGUGGGCUGCAUCAUCUCGCUUCUGUUGCACUUUCACUGGCCAUUCCAGGAAUCGGGAUCAAUGUCCCCUGCCAAGGUUCAGCGCGUCGUAUUGACCUCGGGCCAAGAAAGAUGUAGCCACCUCCGAUCGAACCUUCAAAGGGGAGUGUGUAACCGCUGCAAGAAAGUAGGCCAACAAAACAAACCACGUCGCCUGAUUCAGGGCCGUGGAGUAAAGCCGAGGGGUGAUGUUGUAUGGAUGGUGCGCACGCGCGCGCACGUACACCAGAAGAGGGCACACGAAGCUUCUUCGCUGGGAUCCCGGCUAAUUUGCAGUCCAAGGAUGCUCUUUCGUUCGAAAGAGGAAAGUAAACGUUAGAAGAAAGAGGACAGCGAAAAAGGAAAGAGAAGGACGGAACAGAGAGAUCGCGGAGGCAACAGAGGAACUGAUGUCCUCUGGAGAUGAGCAGCCGCCUGAAGGAGAACGAUAUUGCUCCUUGGCUUGGCUGGAUACCGUGCUCCUCCGCCUCCUUCUUUUCCUCUAUCCCGCAGACCAUGAACACGGGGAAAAGGAUAAAAAGAUUACGGGAGCAAAUACCCGAGCGAAGGCGAACCCGUCGUCGAAUGGACCAACGCGGAUAGAUAGGAAUCUUUCGCCUCCCUUUUAGAUGGCAAACACCGUGCACAAUCUCUUAUCCAACGGGAUA